Clupea harengus (Atlantic herring) is the source of this 958-nucleotide long non-coding RNA. The record is from Ensembl. NCBI's taxonomy places the organism in Eukaryota, Metazoa, Chordata, Actinopteri, Clupeiformes, Clupeidae.
GCUAGUUAGCUAGCUAGUUUGCUGAAUAAGCCAUUUUUUGGUUUUAGGGAAGAGCACAUUUUCUCAGUAGUAGCUUGGAAAACAGCGCAGACUAUUAGGAGGUAAUUGCAUAAUUUGACGGAUUCAUGAAUUGUACGUUAUUGUUAAUUAAGCUAGCUAUUGUGUUUGCAACCAAGUUACUUAACGUUAGCUUGCUACCGAUAGCUAUGCAAAGUAGUCCUUACUGAAAUAACUGUCUGGAGCCGUUGCUAGGACUCUGUUCUCUGCACAAACGGAAUAGUGAAACAGGAAAGCCAAAGGCGUUCACCCUCCUAUAUUACCCGCUUUGUCGUGCAGUUGUUUCAGUCAUACUGGUGCUGCAGUUUGAUGUAACUGCCAUGUAGUAACCUCACCAAAAUUCCAUAAGCUGGGUGUUUGAAAAAAGGGUAAAUUAACACACACAGAUCCAGGCAAAGAUGGAAAUGUCAACACAGCAAUUGGUUUCUUACCUGUAUGAAAGGCUCCAUAUCAAGCUGUCUGAUGACAGCUUCCAAGACAUGUGGAACAUUGCUGGCUUCGUUGUCCUAUUCCUCUUCUGCUGCCUGAUCCUUACCUUGUUCAUGACUGCCUUAUUUAUCUCUUGCUUCGGACGGUGCUUUGAGAAACGACUAGACAAAAGGAACAAAGUGGCACCUUUAGAACCCACACCCUCAGCUCCAACAAUUGUGUACAUGGAUGGGCAAGAACCUGUGAAUAAGGCAGACGGUCAGAAAACAGAGGGGGCCCCUUCACGACCUGCAAAGAAUGCUGAGAAACACAAAAAAAAAAGGCAUAAAGACAAAAAGGCCACUAAAAAUGUUAAGUCUCAGACCCCAAGUAAGAAACGACAAAGUACAGCAAAAGUGGUUAAAAAGUAGGUUCAUUUUAGCUUUACACCUGCUAGUCCUGUCACCAUGUUUCCUAUUCAAAUAAAGCACAA